Molecule: RNA transcript, 6131 nt
Organism: Nelumbo nucifera (sacred lotus)
Lineage: Eukaryota; Viridiplantae; Streptophyta; Magnoliopsida; Proteales; Nelumbonaceae
Gene: LDL2
Gene name: LSD1-like2
Source: RefSeq, a predicted model, not a curated record
UGCACUAAUUCCCUCCAUCCCCUCUAUUAAACAGAGAAGACCAGUAGCCGCGACGCUCGAGGUCACCCGAGAAAACCCUAAUUCCGGCGAAUUACUGCGGAGGCUGCGAAUAAAAAAGGUAUGAUUCGUUAUUAUUCCUUCGAGACUGCAAGAAUCUCUUGCGUGUAGUUUCAGAGAUGGACUUGUGUCGAAUCUCAACGAGGAACUCGAGCUUAGGCCCGCAAUUUAGUUAUACAUUUAUUCUUAGGUGGCUCAACACAACUGUUUCCAGUUGCAGUAAUUAAGAGUUACGUUUGUGAAAUUUUUAAGUUCUUCGUCUAAGAGAUUCGUGAGAGUGGAAUGACUAGAAUGGUGCUUUUGGACUCAAAUGAGGAAGAUUAAAGAUCCGGUUGUUAGGAUAGUUUGGGAUGAAUGACAAGAGGAACUGUGGUCGAAGAGUUGAGGAAAAUGUUCAAAACCUUCUAUCCAAUGGAUUAUCGUUUUAUAUCCGUGGAGUUGUUAAAAUGGAACAUCCGGUCUAUUGGAGCUGAGUUUGAUAAUACGAAAGUGCGGAGAAAAAUGCACGGUUACGUUUGUCAUGGACUUGGAUGGGGUCUGUGACCUCUAGCCAAGAAGGAAAAAGGGACAAGAAGUAAGAAAGUUGCAAUUUCAUGUGAGCUGGGUUUGAGUAUUCGAGUUACUAGGAUGGAAUCUCCAGUUUCUGAUGGCAACACUCCUAAGCGCUCGUUAAGAAAGACUGUAGCAUUACGAAGUUACGAUGAGAAUCUUAUGGACGAGCUCAUAGAGAAGCACUUGGGCAGCACGCCAAGGAAAAAGAAUAGAACGAAGGCGGAUUUGGAGAAAGAAACUGAAAUCGAGGCCAUGAUUGCUCUAUCUCUAGGGUUCCCCAUUGAUGCAUUGCUUGAAGAGGAAAUUAAAGCUGGUGUCGUAAGUGAAUUGGGUGGAAAAGAGCAAAAUGACUACAUCGUGGUGAGAAAUCAUAUAUUAGCAAAGUGGAGGGAUAAUGUUCGAAUCUGGCUUUCAAAAGGACAGAUUAGGGAAACUGUUAGCAGUGAGUAUGAACAUUUGAUCUGUUCAGCUCAUGAUUUUCUCUUGUCACAUGGGUAUAUUAAUUUUGGGGUUUCACCGUCAAUCACAUCUCAAAUUCCCCAAGAAGCACAUGAAGGGUCAGUGAUAAUUGUUGGUUCUGGACUUGCUGGAUUAGCUGCAGCCAGGCAGCUUUUAUCCUUUGGUUUCAAGGUUGUUGUCCUUGAAGGUAGAAAAAGGCCAGGAGGAAGAGUUUAUACUCAGAAAAUGGGCUGUGAUGGUAAAUUUGCUGCUGUAGAUCUUGGUGGUAGUGUUAUUACAGGUAUUCAUGCCAACCCCCUAGGGGUUCUAGCCAGGCAACUUUCCAUUCCACUUCAUAAGGUUAGAGAUAAAUGUCCUCUAUACAAGCCAGAUGGGGCACCUGUUGACGUGGAAAUUGAUUCCAAUGUAGAAUUCAUCUUCAACAAGUUGCUGGACAAAGCCACCCAAUUGAGAAAAAUUAUGGGUGGAUUGGCAAAUGAUAUUUCCCUGGGAUCAGCUCUGGAGACAUUGAGACAAUUGUAUGGAGUGGCUCAAAGUACCGAAGAAACACAACUACUUGAUUGGCAUCUUGCAAACUUGGAAUAUGCAAAUGCAGGAUGUCUUUCAGACCUUUCUGUUGCAUAUUGGGAUCAGGAUGAUCCUUAUGAAAUGGGUGGGGACCAUUGUCUUCUUGCUGGAGGUAAUUGGAGACUCAUAAAAGCACUGUGUGAAGAUGUCCCAAUAUUCUAUGGGAAGAUGGUUCACACAAUUAAAUAUGGAAAUGAAGGUGUAGAAGUGAUUGCCGGAGAGCAAGUGUUUCAAGCAGAUAUGGUCCUCUGCACUGUGCCUCUUGGGGUUUUGAAAAAUAAAAGCAUCAAAUUUGAACCUGAGUUACCAAAAAGAAAACUUGCAGCUAUUGAGAGGUUGGGUUUUGGGUUGUUGAAUAAGGUUGCUAUGGUCUUUCCUUAUGUUUUCUGGGGAGAAGACCUAGAUACAUUUGGCUGUCUGAACAGAGAUGGCCAUAGACGUGGUGAAUUCUUUUUGUUCUACAGCUACCAUACUGUUUCUGGAGGUCCCGUUCUUAUUGCACUGGUAGCAGGAGAAGCUGCACUUAUUUCUGAACACAAGGAUCCAUCUAUUUUGCUACACCGUGUGCUAAGCAUCCUCAGAGGUAUCUAUAGCCAAAGGGGCAUUGAUGUGCCUAAUCCCAUCCAAACAAUAUGCACAAGAUGGGGAAGUGAUCCCCUUUGCCGUGGUUCUUAUUCCCAUGUUAGAGUUGGAUCAUCUGGUAAUGAUUAUGAUAUUCUUGCAGAAAGUAUUGGCAGGCGGCUGUUCUUUGCUGGAGAAGCCACAAAUAAGCAGUAUCCAGCCAGCAUGCAUGGUGCUUUCUUGAGUGGUAUAAGAGAAGCUUCACGUAUUCUUCAUGCUACAAGGAGUCGACAAAAUAAUCUCAGGUUGUAUGUGCAAAAGAACGUGGGACCAUGUGAAGAUGUUCUUACAGAUCUAUUCAGGAAGCCUGAUUUAACAUUUGGGAAGUUUUCAUUUAUAUUUGACCCUUCGACUGAAGACCCUAAAUCCCUGGGGCUUAUGAAAGUUACCGUUGGGAAGUCCAGGAGUGGAUUUAUUGGCAAAUUCAGUUCUGGACAAGAAUUACAAAAGAGCUCACAAGAGUCCUUAACUCUACCAUUGCAGCUGUACACUGUUUUAUCUCGAGAGCAGGCACAUGAGCUACAAUUGAUGACUGAAGGGGAUGAAAAUAAAUUGUCCCUUUUAUACAGAAAGUUUGGUUUAAGGCUAAUGGGACCUAGUGGCUUAGGAACCUUAGGUAACUCCUUGACUGUUAGCAUUGCUAGUGCACGUAGAAGUCGGAUCAGGCACCGCUCAGCCGCUGGACAACAAAAUGUGGUCUAAGUGUCAUCAGUUCAGUGCAUUAUUUUUCUAGUGCCUCGUGCAUGAGCAUGGGAUUUUCACCUGUAUUAUAUACAUGCUUGAUGAAAGGGAUACUAGAAGCCUGAUGGAACUUGCCAAUGGAGGUAAAUUGUCUCUUUGAUCCAACUACCUUUGAUCUUUCUAAGAAAAGGGGAAGGAUUAUGUGGAGAUGAAUAAGAGUAGCUUUGAUUUGGAUCAUUUGGGAGGAAAGGAAUGCAAGAAUAUUUCUAGAGGAGGAAAGAGGCAAGGAAGCAGUGAAAGAAUGUGUGAUGAAUAGGGCUAUUCACUGAUUCAAAACUUUGGAUAUCUUCUCACAAUUUUCUUUUGAUGAUCUCUGGAGGAACUAGUAUAUAUGGUGGCAAUGAGCUCUUCUAUGAAGGAAAAAGUAGUCUCAGUGUGGAAGCCCCCUCUGGAAGCAUUUUGUCAAACUGAACUUUGAUGGAACAGCCAAGGUAACCUAGGCCCCUCUAAAGUUGAGGGAUUAUUGAGAGAUAAGGACAUGCCAUUGCCAUCUUUUUUAGGUCCAACGGGAGUGGGAGAUUCUACUAGAGUGGUGGUGGGGUGGUUGAAGGAGUCAAUCUGUAAGUCGGGGCUACAGAAACAAGAUGAAACUUAUAUUGCUAACAAGAAACAUGACUUUGAGAAUACAAUGGAUGAGGACCACCAAUGCCUUUGCUGAUAUUCUCGCCAAGCAAAGGGUGAAUAGGAACCAUUUUUAUUGGGCAUGGUUGUAAUUGUAAUUCUUUCAUUAUGUUGGGAGAGGUCUUUCCACUGAUUAAUAAUGUAUGUACCAUUUGUAUUGGGCAUGGUUGUAAUUGUAACUGUUUCAUUAUGUUGGGGGAGGUCACACCUCGUGCCUCUCUAAGGAUGCUUGUACUAAUAAUGUAUGUACUAUUGUCUACUUGUAAUGCUGUUUUCACUGAUUAAUAAAAUUUGUUUACUUGUCAAAAAAAAGAAGGGAAUCUCUUAGAAGACUACACAAGUGGAUGUUAAAGAAAUGAAGUGUGACUGUUGUAGGAAACCAAGGCAUAGUUGAGAUUCUUGUUGGAAGCUUAGUUCUAACCUAAGACCUCUAAGAUUUACCAAAGGAAAGAAAAACAAUACAAAUUGGUUAGCAUAUGAGAAUUACAAUCUAAUACUGGCUUAAACACCCCAUUUGGUGCUCAUAGCCUCGUACUGAUGAGAUGUUUAUUGCUUCUUAGGUAGUGAUGGAAAAGCAUAAUCAUCCUUUGUCUCAAUUUGAUUGCAUCACUAUUUGCUGGGUCAUUUAAUCCUUUCAUUUCUUUUGCUAAGAUAGGUAAUCAAUCUUUUGCUUAUCAGGUUUUUCUCUCUUCUAUAUUGGGUGGUCAAUUUAGGUAAUUCUAAUUACAUAACUGGCAAGUCAUCUUUGUUUAUGCUCUAGUUGCAAUAAGGUUACAAUAGCAAAUGUCUUCCUUACUCCUAUUUUUAGGAAAGGAACUAUUCAACUAGGUGGUCACUUGUCUUUGGAUUCUAUUAAGAUAAAAAGAUACAAGUAUCUUGGGUGACAAGAUGUCACCACCUAGCGAAACAAAAGGGAAACUACAAUAUAACCAUACUAAAUAGACCAAACCCAAAACCCAUACAAAAUUAAAUCAACAAAAUAGACCAGAAAUUCUUUUUUUGCAGCCUACAAAUUCUGGAAGAAUUAAAACCCAAUCAUCGAGCUUUGAGCUGAUUGUUGCCACUAAUUUUUCCUUGCUCUUCAUCUUUCCAUAAAAAAAUUCUUCUAUUUCUUUCCUUCCACUACCCAACAGACAGCAAAAGGGAUGCAGAUCCAGAGGAUUUUACUUUGAUGUUUCCUGAUAGCCUUGGCAACACUCCAAAAAUAUUCACAGGCCUAGCAGGAGACCAACCAUCAUAGCUUGAAGAGAAAAAGCACAUAUUCCUUUCACAAAAUUGCAGCUAACCAUUAAAUGAAAUAAGUCUUCUUCCUCUGAAAAACACAGUGCACAUCUGCUUAGGAUUACAAAACCUUUGAAAAACACAUUGCACAUCUGCCUAUUCACCAACCAUGCGAAAACCUCCACUCUUGGAGGAAUUGGUUUCCCCCAAAUUCCUUUGAGAGAAGAAGAUUCCACCUGAAUCCUCAUUAAUGCAUUGUCCAUGUUCCCCUGCUUAUUACAAAUUUGUUGUUUGUUGAUGGUCUAACUAUGCAAUUAAAUUGUUAUUUAACUUUUUUAUCAUUAUGUCUUCUUCUUCUAGGACCUAGGCAUGAGGAAGACUAUUAAAAGUGGCCAUGAAGUGAAAGGAGUCUACUUGUUGAAUAACCUGCCAAAUAAUUCUUUGGCAUUUUAGUCUAAUAGUUUAGUGAGUCAUCAAUGACCAAAGUUAGGCAUUGGAUACAUAUAUCUUGGUAUGACGAUCUCAGUCUGAUGUAAGUUGAUGCUUGUGUGGGGCUUGCUAGUGUCUGGAGCUUUGGCAAGUGGCCUGUUGUAUCUUUUUUAACUUUGAUAGCAAUAAAAUUUACCUUAUCUUUCAAAAAAAGUAUAUUCCCUGAAUUAUUUAUCUUUCUCAUUUGGUCUUUUAAAUUUUAUUCCCUGAAUUGUUUAAGUUGGUCACCUCAUUGAAUUUUAAAUGUGAGUCUAUGAGCUUGCUAAAUGUUACAUAACAUCAUUUUUCCAAGUACUUCUCUUUGUACUUGUGGAUUACUUUUAAAUUUUAAUUACAUACUUGAUUGUACAUGUUCUAUGGCAAGGUGGUAUUCAUCAAAGCACUUAUACACUAAAGCUAUUGUUCCGAAGCCAUUUGGGAUGGGAUAUUCUUUCACUCAAAAGGGGUAACAUUGCUUUCAUCUGAAAAGAGAUUUGUUUAAGGACACCACCAUCUUAGUCAAUUUUGUUCUCCUUAGGUCACUAUUUAGAUAGAGUUCUAAUGAAAAGAAAAGUCUUGUAUUUCUUCUUCCUAUGUUGGUUCUCAUGUUUUCCUUCUUAAGGUCUUUAUGGAGGUUGUAGUGUCAAAGAAUCCUGAAGCAUAUACUCAUAGUUGUCAAGGCAAUGCCUAGGCGACGAGGCGCCCUUGGAGGCUCGCUUCGCCCAGUCGCCAAGUAGUUUUGCGCCCUUGUAGUGUCUUUAUGUACUGAUUUCUUUUUAUUAUUUUAUUUGUUAGGGUUUAAUCAACACAAACAUUGCUAAUUG